GGGGAGCCGGCUCCUGGCCUUGCUGACAGCUUCUGCCAGCCAGCCUGGCACGGGCUGGGGCGGGGUCAGCCAGCCUGACAAAGCAUCCAUCCAUGUGGAUGGGGGCAGCAGAGGGGGACGGGUUCCGAAGCCGUGCCCCAGCUGGUCUGCUUUGCAGGCCCUCGAGGAAGGGGUGCGUUUACGGGCGGGAAAGGUGGGGUUUUUCCCCACCCGUGGACAGGUUUCAUUCUCGCAUGGAGUGGUCAGACCCUCCUCAGGCCCGUGAAACGGUGACAGGCUUUGUAGCUUCUUCUUGUUUCCAGGUCUUGUUUUGAAUUGACUUUCAUGCAAUUGUUCUUUAUUUUCCCAGGAAGAUUACACCUGGUGCCCGGACCGCAUGGGGAAGCGCCUGCACCGUCCGUGGAGCACAUCCAGUGCCAGCGCUACCCCAGGGGCCACGGCCUGCGGGGACAUCCCCUUCAAGAAGGGCGAGGACCUCGUGUGGGAUCGGCUCCUCUCCUGGCAGCAGGUCUGCAGAGGCUGCCAGCACCUCAUGCCAUGGAAACGGCUCCGCUCGGCCUGCCAGGCUGGGAGGGCUGGAGGGCGGCGGGUGUUCAUUUGCUGUCAAAAAGAAAUCAUUCUAUUGUUUUGU
Vidua macroura (Pin-tailed whydah) is the source of this 631-nucleotide long non-coding RNA. RefSeq lists it as uncharacterized. The record is from RefSeq and is a predicted model, not a curated record. The transcript has 2 exons. Lineage: Eukaryota; Metazoa; Chordata; Aves; Passeriformes; Viduidae.